Molecule: ribosomal RNA, 559 nt
Filed under: Yponomeuta padella (orchard ermine moth)
Lineage: Eukaryota; Metazoa; Arthropoda; Insecta; Lepidoptera; Yponomeutidae
Description: partial 16S ribosomal RNA
Rfam family: Archaeal large subunit ribosomal RNA (bases 412-559)
Source: RNAcentral
CGCCUGUUUAUCAAAAACAUGUCUUUUUGAUUAAUAAUUUAAAGUCUGGUCUGCCCACUGAUUAAAAUAAUUAAAGGGCUGCAGUAUUUUGACUGUACAAAGGUAGCAUAAUAAUUAGUCUUUUAAUUGAUGACUUGUAUGAAUGAUUGGAUAAAGUAUAAUCUGUCUCUUAAUAAAUUUAUAGAAUUUAAUUUUUUAUUUAAAAAGUUAAAAUAAUUUUAAAAGACGAGAAGACCCUAUAGAGUUUAAUAAUUUUAUAAAUUAAAAUUAUAUUUAUAAAUUUAAUUAAAAAUUAUAUAAUUAUUUUAUUGGGGUGAUAAAAAAAUUAAUAAAACUUUUUUUAAAUAUUAACAAAAAUAAUUGAAUAUUUGAUCCAAUUUUAUUUUGAUUAUAAGAUUAAAUUACCUUAGGGAUAACAGCGUAAUUUUUUUUUUUAGUUCUUAUAAAAAAGAAAGUUUGCGACCUCGAUGUUGGAUUAAGAUAAAAUUUAAAUGCAAAAGUUUAAAAUUUUGAUCUGUUCGAUCAUUAAAAUCUUACAUGAUCUGAGUUCAAACCGGAG